This 301-nucleotide ribosomal RNA is filed under the name uncultured bacterium. RNAcentral describes it as "partial 16S ribosomal RNA". It matches the Rfam family "Bacterial small subunit ribosomal RNA", at positions 509 to 807 of the family's 1533-position model. The record is from RNAcentral.
CAGCCGCCGCGGGAAUACGAAGGGUGCAAGCGUUACUCGGAAUUACUGGGCGUAAAGCGUGCGUAGGUGGUUGUUUAAGUCUGUUGUGAAAGCCCUGGGCUCAACCUGGGAAUUGCAGUGGAUACUGGGCAACUAGAGUGUGGUAGAGGGUAGUGGAAUUCCCGGUGUAGCAGUGAAAUGCGUAGAGAUCGGGAGGAACAUCCAUGGCGAAGGCAGCUACCUGGACCAACACUGACACUGAGGCACGAAAGCGUUGGGAGCAAACAGGAUUAGAUACCCGCGUAGUCCCUGUCUCUUAUAC